GAACAGGGAAGAGGCCAGCACCGAAUCUCCCGGCCGGUGGGUCGGCGAGAAAUGYGGUGUUAGGGAGCGGCCGUUCCCGCGGCGCGCUGGAUCGUUCCAAGUCCUCUUGAAAGGGGCCACGGCCCGUAGAGGGUGCCAGGCCCGUAGCGGACGACGUGCGCGCUCGGGGGGCUUGUCUCCUCAGAGUCGGGUUGCUUGAGAUCGCAGCCCUAAGCAGGUGGUAAACUCCAUCUAAGGCUAAAUACAACCACGAGACCGAUAGCGAACAARUACCGUGAGGGAAAGUUGAAAAGAACUUUGAAKAGAGAGKUCAAGAGUACGUGAAACCGCCCAAGGGGAAACGGAAGGUGUUUGAGCAAACUAGGCCGGGGAAACUCAUCUCCGCUCGCCGGCACGCUCAGCUACCCGCCCGCUGGCGGCCGCUUAACUUUGCUUUCUAGCGUCCCCACGCAAGAACGGUCGGGCGAAUCCAGCUCUGAGCACGGGAAACGGAACCCGUGCGAGUCUGUCGGAAGGGCGGUGUGCACUUUUCCUUCCCAUAGUGCGUCGCGAUCCGUUGGUCGGCGGUCAAAGGCCCGGGGCUAUUAUCCGUCGGGCGGCGUGAACGCAAGUUUGCGUCGCCGGGCGGAGUCCCCGGUGAGCUCGCGGUGGGCAGCUUCGCGGCGCCCGUUGCCGCAGCUUUUCCCGGCCGCCGUGUAAGCCCGCCCCGUAGCGGGGCGGCAGUUACGACGGUCAUGAAAUACGUGGAAGACGUCCCGACCGUCCCUCUACCCUUCGGGCGAGGGGGACGGCGGGUCCCUCCGGACCAAUUCACGAGCGCCGGUCGCGGUGGUUAGCUAGCGCGCGGGGCGUCCCUUAGGGAACGCUCGUGCGCGCAUCCCAUCGACACGGCCGCGCGGUGACAGGAGGGGGGGGAUGAGCGAGAGCUCUCCCGAGACAAACCGGCGGCGUAAGUCUCAGACUACUUUCCGACCCGUCUUGAAACACGGACCAAGGAGUCUAACAUGUGCGCGAGUCAAUGGGAAGUGUGAAACCCAAAGGCGCAAUGAAAGUGAAGCCGGGCGGCGACGGUUGACCACCGCGUCCGUCUCGGUUAGGGAGGAUGGCACGGGGCGCGCCGGGUCCGAGGACGCCGGCGCGUCAAACGUAACCCCGGCCCGCACUCCCGGGGCGUCGUUCGCGGCGCACCCAGAGCGCACACGUUGGUACCCGAAAGAUGGUGAACUAUGCCUGGCCAGGACGAAGCCAGGGGAAACCCUGGUGGAGGUCCGUAGCGAUUCUGACGUGCAAAUCGAUCGUCUGAGCUGGGUAUAGGGGCGAAAGACUAAUCGAACCAUCUAGUAGCUGGUUCCCUCCGAAGUUUCCCUCAGGAUAGCUGGCACUCGGAGACUUGAAAUAAUGCAAUGAGUUACGAAUCUCAUUCGGUAAAGCGAAUGAUUAGAGGCCUUAGGGUCGAAACGGCCUUAACCUAUUCUCAAACUUUAAAUGGGUGAGAACGCCGGCAUUCUCGAAAAGCAGAAAUGUGAUGCCGGCGAAAGGAUCGUGAGUGCCCAGUGGGCCAUUUUUGGUAAGCAGAACUGGCGCUGUGGGAUGAACCAAACGUAGAGUUAAGGCGCCUAAAUCGACGCUCAUGGGAUACCAUGAAGGGCGUUGUUUGCUUAAGACAGCUGGGCGGUGGCCAUGGAAGUCGGAAUCCGCUAAGGAGUGUGUAACAACUCACCAGCCGAAGCAACUAGCCCUGAAAAUGGAUGGCGCUGAAGCGUCGUGCCUAUACUCUACCGCCGGAGGCAAGGUGAGGGCGCCCGCACGUCCUGCGUCGGGAGCGCCGCGUGUGCCUAACCAGCCACAGCGAGCGCAGGAGCCCUGUUAAGCCGCGGUGAGUAGGAGGGUCGCGACGGUGAGCGCAGAAGGGUUGGGCGCGAGCCUGCCUGGAGCCGCCGUCGGUGCAGAUCUUGGUAGUAGUAGCAAAUACUCUAGCGAGACCCUGGAGGGCUGAUGUGGAGAAGGGUUUCGUGUGAACAGCCGUUGCACACGAGUCAGUCGGUCCUAAGCCCUAGGGGAACCAGAUGUAGAUGCGAGCCAUUGAGGGCAGGUUCGAAUGCUUGUAUUAAUAGAACGCUGCCGGCCGCGUCGGGCGAAAGGGAAUCCGGUCCCUAUUCCGGAACCCGGUCGCGGAACCGUUUCACGUCGGGCCCAGCGUCGAAAGGCGCAAGCUCGUCGGGGUAACCCAACAUGACCCGGAGAAGCCGUCGGGAGGUCUGGGAAGAGUUUUCUUUUCUGUUUGAGCGUUCGGGUUCCCUGGAAUUGCCUAGCGCAGAGAGAGGGAAUGGAGCGCGUAGA
This 2340-nucleotide ribosomal RNA is filed under the name Sciobia finoti. Its description in RNAcentral is "eukaryotic LSU rRNA". It matches the Rfam family "Eukaryotic large subunit ribosomal RNA", at positions 95 to 1763 of the family's 3401-position model. Lineage: Eukaryota; Metazoa; Arthropoda; Insecta; Orthoptera; Gryllidae. The record is from RNAcentral.